This 650-nucleotide long non-coding RNA is filed under the name Manihot esculenta (cassava). Its description in RNAcentral is "long non-coding RNA (MESC_LNC007438)". The record is from RNAcentral. Lineage: Eukaryota; Viridiplantae; Streptophyta; Magnoliopsida; Malpighiales; Euphorbiaceae.
AAUCAUCCAUAUUUAAAAAAAUAAUUUUCAAAUCAUGCAGGAUCCGAAAAUAUUUUCGGAUCCUGUGUGUCAACCCAGCGUGUUCGCCAGUCAUACUGGCGAACAUGCUGGUUCGACAACCAUGGUGGCGAACAAGGAGAUCCGUGCCACGGGAGCAGUGUCACUGCCGCAUGGCUUCCAUGUGGCGUGUUCGGCACCCAAGGUGCCGAACACGCCAAAUGCCGAACGCGCCAUAACUCUUCGGCACUUUCCAUGCAUCCAUCCCUUGGCGCUGCAUGCGUGCCUGGUGGGAUUGCAUGCGCGCCAAGUGAACUUGCAUGCACAGUCUCGAAAUUUUGGCUUUUAAUCUUUUGGCUUUUCAUGCAUCCCCAUUUUCCUCAUUUUUCAUUUCUGUAUUGUUUCUUUUCUUCUCCCUCUCCACACUUGUUCUACACUUCCUUCUCCAUACUUGCUCUACACUUUCUCCUCCAGCAUUUCACCUCCAGCAUACUGUGAUCUCUAUUUUCAUCUCCUUCUAUUUUUCAAAACAUCUCACUGUUAUAAGGUUUUUCUAUAAACUGAUUUUUAUUUUUAAAUGUGUAUAUAAUUUUUUUAUAUAUAAUUUUUUUUGACAUAUAAAAAUAAAAAUAAAAAUUAUAAUUUAAUAUGUG